UAAGUUCCUCCUUCACCUAAGAAACUGAAGCUUCACAUGGCCAAUGAUGCUGUGUAGGUGUCACUUGUCUGUGAGAGCCAAUGAAGAACAUUAAUCAGAAGAACCAAACUCAAGAACAAGGUCAUUUCCUGCUUCACAAGGGCCAUCUUUACUUUGAAAGAUACAGAAAGACUGUGUAUAUCCUUGCUUGUGAUCUUCCCAAUCAGUAGCAUCUGUUUCUAGGUCAGAUGGCAUACAAGUUCCUCCUCUGCUAAGAGUUACUGCUUUUGUGCCUCCCCAAAAAGAUAUAAUAAAAAUAAGAUUGAAUAUGGUCUUUUAAUCUUGGAGUCAUAAAAGAAAUGUUGAGGGGCAGGGGCUCAAAUC
This 363-nucleotide long non-coding RNA is filed under the name Homo sapiens (human). RNAcentral's name for it is "HSALNT0249219". The record is from RNAcentral. Lineage: Eukaryota; Metazoa; Chordata; Mammalia; Primates; Hominidae.